UGAAAGUGACUACAUCGGGGUU
RNAcentral lists this non-coding RNA (22 nucleotides) under Arabidopsis thaliana (thale cress). Lineage: Eukaryota; Viridiplantae; Streptophyta; Magnoliopsida; Brassicales; Brassicaceae. The record is from RNAcentral.